RNAcentral lists this small RNA (29 nucleotides) under Bombyx mori (domestic silkworm). RNAcentral describes it as "piRNA piR-bmo-1817191". Lineage: Eukaryota; Metazoa; Arthropoda; Insecta; Lepidoptera; Bombycidae. The record is from RNAcentral.
UUGUAUAAAUUGAACAUCCGAGCGAUGCU